RNAcentral lists this ribosomal RNA (424 nucleotides) under Verrucomicrobiota bacterium. Its description in RNAcentral is "Verrucomicrobia bacterium partial 16S ribosomal RNA". It matches the Rfam family "Bacterial small subunit ribosomal RNA", at positions 355 to 776 of the family's 1533-position model. The record is from RNAcentral. Lineage: Bacteria; Pseudomonadati; Verrucomicrobiota.
UGAGGAAUAUUGGUCAAUGGGCGAGAGCCUGAACCAGCCAAGUAGCGUGCAGGAUGACGGCCCUAUGGGUUGUAAACUGCUUUUAUAUGGGAAUAAAGUGAGGGACGUGUCCCUUAUUGCAUGUACCAUACGAAUAAGGACCGGCUAAUUCCGUGCCAGCAGCCGCGGUAAUACGGAAGGUUCGGGCGUUAUCCGGAUUUAUUGGGUUUAAAGGGAGCGUAGGCCGUUUGGUAAGCGUGUUGUGAAAUGUAGGAGCUCAACUUCUAGAUUGCAGCGCGAACUGUCAGACUUGAGUGCGCACAACGUAGGCGGAAUUCAUGGUGUAGCGGUGAAAUGCUUAGAUAUCAUGAAGAACUCCGAUUGCGAAGGCAGCUUACGGGGGCGCAACUGACGCUGAAGCUCGAAGGUGCGGGUAUCGAACAGG